GAUCUUUAUAUAUUUUAUUAAUUUAAUAAUUAUUAGUUAUUUUUUAUUUUGAUUUAUAUGUAUAUUAUAUUGGGGUAAUAAUAAAAUUAAAAAAAUUUUUAUUUAAUAAAACAAUAAAUAUAUGUAUUUUUGAUCUUGUAUUAUUGAUUAAAAGAAAAAGUUACCUUAGGGAUAACAGCAUAAUGAUUUUUGAGAGUUCUUAUUGAUAAAAUAGUUUGU
Molecule: ribosomal RNA, 219 nt
Filed under: Evandromyia infraspinosa
Lineage: Eukaryota; Metazoa; Arthropoda; Insecta; Diptera; Psychodidae
Description: partial 16S ribosomal RNA
Source: RNAcentral